ACGUUAUCAAGCCCCUUGUGCCCCCGCGGCGCAAGGAGGUAUUUUCCAAUUUACUCCAAACCAUUAACAUCUGAAAACCAUGGCAAUUGGCUCUGCUGAUUGUUAUAACCAAAGACAACUCUCAACAACGGAUAUCUUGGCUCCCACAACGAUGAAGAACGCAGCGAAAUGCGAUACGUAGUGUGAAUUGCAGAAUUCUGUGAACCAUCGAAUUUUUGAACGCAUAUUGCGCUCGAGCCUUCUGGCAAGAGCACGCCUGCCUCAGGGUCAUGAACACCUCACGCCACCUCUUUUGUUGGCAUGGAUCUGGCAGUCUCACCGAAAAUGUGAGUCUGCUGAAAUACAGAAGGCUUGUGCAACCACCCACCUCACGGCGGGUUGUCGCAACCACAUUGGUAAUUAGCCUCGGCUAAACAAAUGUGACUGCGGCUUUGGGAGCAUCGAUGCCUUAGCAGGUAUAUUUCCAACAUUUGACCUGAGUUCAGACGAGAUUACCCGCCGAACUUAAGCAUAUCAAUAAGCGGAGGAA
RNAcentral lists this ribosomal RNA (529 nucleotides) under Tetraselmis sp. MBTD-CMFRI-S075. RNAcentral's name for it is "eukaryotic LSU rRNA". The stretch from base 117 to 270 matches the Rfam family "5.8S ribosomal RNA". The record is from RNAcentral. Lineage: Eukaryota; Viridiplantae; Chlorophyta; Chlorodendrophyceae; Chlorodendrales; Chlorodendraceae.